Molecule: ribosomal RNA, 403 nt
Filed under: uncultured bacterium
Lineage: Bacteria
Description: partial 16S ribosomal RNA
Rfam family: Bacterial small subunit ribosomal RNA
Source: RNAcentral
AUUGAACGCUGGCGGCAGGCCUAACACAUGCAAGUCGAGCGAGCGGCGGACGGGUGAGUAAUGUAUGGGGACUGCCCGAUAGAGGGGGAUAACUACUGGAAACGGUAGCUAAUACCGCAUACUAUCGGAUAACCCAUAUGGGAUUAGCUAGUAGGUGAGGUAAUGGCUCACCUAGGCGACGAUCCCGAGCUGGUCUGAGAGGAGGAUCAGCCACACGGGGAAUGAGACACGGCCCAGACUCCGACGGAGGCAGCAGUGGGGAAUCUUGCACAAUGGGCGCAAGCCUGAUGCAGCCAUGCCGCGUGUAUUAAGAAGGCCCUAGGGGUGUAAAGUACUUGCAGUCGUGAGGCGUGACCGACAGAAGAAGCACCGGCUAACUCCGUGCCAGCAGCCGCGGUAAUUC